Molecule: long non-coding RNA, 971 nt
Organism: Rosa chinensis
Lineage: Eukaryota; Viridiplantae; Streptophyta; Magnoliopsida; Rosales; Rosaceae
Exons: 5
Source: RefSeq, a predicted model, not a curated record
AUCAUCUUUAGGUAACACCAAAUCCCUUUACGUAAUUUUAGGCCAAGCAUAUAACUGUUUCCAAAACGGGUCAUUCCUAACUACUUAUUUUGCUAGCUAUUGUUUGAUUUCAAAUUAUCCUUAUCAGUAAUAGGAUAAGAGCCGUAAAGCACUGCCUAUGGGACGGCUAAAAGCACCUCUGUUUUUAGAUUGUUCUGUUUGGCAAAUAUGUUACUGUGUUUGAGUGCUAAAACAUUUGGAGUGGUUUUGGUAAAAAGCAGAGGCCAGGUACCAGAAUUACAUUAUUGAGUAAUCAUCAAUUUUUUUAUGGACUCUGUUCUACCAUUAUAGAGUAUUUUUAACCACACAAUCCAGUUCUGAAGAGGCAACUUAACUCCACUGUGCUUUCUUCAUGUGCAACUACACAUUUAUAUGUGGUAACUCUCUACAGAUGUGUAGAGAUGAUUAUACAAUCAAGCAUUGCGUUGGUUUUUGGCAUCAUUUCAGUGAUCUGGUGAACAACUAAUAAGUAGCAUUAAUUACAAGUAAAACAAAAGAGAAGGAUGAAGAUCUAAGUGGAGUAUGAGAUGAAUCUGGGAAUGCAGAAGGAUCAAUGCAUCUUGUUCAGAAAGCCUUCAACGUUGCUGUUACAAUUUUUAACAGUCAAAUUUCAGAGCAAGCUCGAAUAACAGCAGGCCUAUAGAUCAGACUAGUAAUAGAAAAUUUUGUGUUAUCAAUGCUAUGGAAUGGAGAGAAUAACCACAAGAUCAAGAGUUUAACAUAGGUUGAAGAUUUAAGUCCAAUCAUCUUCAACUUCACAGAGCUCCUCCAUGGUGGUUAGGCAGCAGUCUCUUUAGAGCAUAUUCAACACACCAAAUGAUUGACUGCGCCCGACUCCUUACAACAUCAGAUGUGGAACUUACUGUUUAGAGUCCUGUGCAGUGCACCCAGCAGACACAAGAGUUUCUUCUGAUACAAACAAUUACACAUUU